This 706-nucleotide ribosomal RNA is filed under the name uncultured Actinomycetales bacterium. Its description in RNAcentral is "bacterial SSU rRNA". It matches the Rfam family "Bacterial small subunit ribosomal RNA", at positions 61 to 780 of the family's 1533-position model. Lineage: Bacteria; Bacillati; Actinomycetota; Actinomycetes; Actinomycetales. The record is from RNAcentral.
GUCGAACGGAAAGGCCCUGCUUGCAGGGUACUCGAGUGGCGAACGGGUGAGUAACACGUGGGUGAUCUGCCCUGCACUUCGGGAUUAGCUUGGGAAACUGGGUCUAAUACCGGAUAGGAGCCAUCUUUAGUGUGGUGGUUGGAAAGUUUUUUCGGUGUAGGAUGAGCUCGCGGCCUAUCAGCUUGUUGGUGGGGUAAUGGCCUACCAAGGCGGCGACGGGUAGCCGGCCUGAGAGGGUGUACGGCCACAUUGGGACUGAGAUACGGCCCAGACUCCUACGGGAGGCAGCAGUGGGGAAUAUUGCACAAUGGGCGCAAGCCUGAUGCAGCGAUGCCGCGCGGGGGAUGAAGGCCUUCGGGUUGUAAACUCCUUUCGCUAGGGACGAAGCUUUGUGUGACGGUACCUAGAUAAGAAGCACCGGCUAACUACGUGCCAGCAGCCGCGGUAAUACGUAGGGUGCGAGCGUUGUCCGGAAUUACUGGGCGUAAAGAGCUCGUAGGUGGUUUGUCGCGUCGUCUGUGAAAUUCUGGGGCUUAACUCCGGGCGUGCAGGCGAUACGGGCAUAACUUGAGUGCUGUAGGGGUAACUGGAAUUCCUGGUGUAGCGGUGAAAUGCGCAGAUAUCAGGAGGAACACCGAUGGCGAAGGCAGGUUACUGGGCAGUUACUGACGCUGAGGAGCGAAAGCAUGGGUAGCGAACAGGAUUA